UGGGGAAUAUUGCACAAUGGGCGCAAGCCUGAUGCAGCAACGCCGCGUGAACGAUGAAGGUCUUCGGAUCGUAAAGUUCUGUUGCAGGGGAAGAUAAUGACGGUACCCUGUGAGGAAGCCCCGGCUAACUACGUGCCAGCAGCCGCGGUAAUACGUAGGGGGCUAGCGUUAUCCGGAUUUACUGGGCGUAAAGGGUGCGUAGGUGGUCCUUCAAGUCGGUGGUUAAAGGCUACGGCUCAACCGUAGUAAGCCGCCGAAACUGGAGGACUUGAGUGCAGGAGAGGAAAGUGGAAUUCCUAGUGUAGCGGUGAAAUGCGUAGAUAUUAGGAGGAAUACCGGUGGCGAAGGCGACUUUCUGGACUUUUACUGACGCUCAGGUACGAAAGCGUGGGGAGCAAACAGG
This 403-nucleotide ribosomal RNA is filed under the name Verrucomicrobiota bacterium. RNAcentral's name for it is "Verrucomicrobia bacterium partial 16S ribosomal RNA". It matches the Rfam family "Bacterial small subunit ribosomal RNA", at positions 355 to 776 of the family's 1533-position model. The record is from RNAcentral. Lineage: Bacteria; Pseudomonadati; Verrucomicrobiota.